AAACAUAUAUAGAGCAUUAAUUGCUAAUUAACAAUUGUUAAAAGCUGAAAACAAAAAAAAUAUAUCAGCCAAUCCUUGAGCCAAACACACCCCUAGUUGAACUACUUGUAUCAAAAUCAGUUGAUGAAGUUGAGCCUAGCUGAGGUCCGUCGGCAAUAUCAACACAUUGGGCAGGGAAAAAAGAUACAUCAGGAUGGACUAUUUCACCAUCAGGACUGAUUCCCAUAUUCUCAGCUUCUGCAUCCUCUUGCAGCUUCAGUGCAAACUCAAGUUCUUCCAUAACAUCUCUUAUAUUGGGCCGUUCAAUGCCUUUGCUAUGAAUGCAACUGAAUGCGAUCUCCACAAAUUUUUUGAAACACCGUGGAGCUAUCUUCCCCUUCAAAUAAGGAUCAAUUAUUUGAUAAAUGUUUCCAUUUUGAAUGCAUUUUUCAGCCCAGAUGGCUAAGCUCAUAUGUUCUUCCACCAAAUUUCGAUCAAGCGGCUUCAGAGCACACAAGACUUCCAAUAAUACUAGACCAAAUGAGUACACAUCAGAUUUUUCUGUUAAUAUUUGGUAUCUUGCAUAUUCUGGAUCUAAAUAACCCCAAGUUCCCUUCACUAUAGUAGUACUGACCUCCUGUUUGAAAGCUGCUUUGGAUAAUCCGAAAUCUGAAACUUUUGCAAUCCAGUUUUCGUCUAGCAAAAUAUUAGUUGUCUUCACGUCUCGAUGGAUAAUGGUAUGCGUGAACUCGGAAUGAAGAUAAUGCAAUCCGCGUGCUGCACCUAUGCAUAUGUGAAGCCUUUUUUUCCACGGAAGAGGAUCAUUGUUUGUUUCAUGUAAAUGUUCUCCAAGUGUGCCGUUGAUAAGGUAAUCAUAGAUGAGAAUCAUUUCACCUUCAUCAAUGCAAUAUCCGAUCAAAGAUACAAGAUUGACAUGGCGGACUUGUGACAACAUCUCUAUUUCUGUCGUGAAUUCGCGAGUCCCUUGCUUUGAUGUGAAUCUAGCCGUUUGAUAGCGACUGUGAUGGAUUCAUUAUCUAUGUAUCCUUUAUAUACAUUACCAAAUCCUCCAGAACCUAUAAAGUUUUGAUCGUCAAAAUUUCUGGUAGCUUCUUUGAUUUCGAGAAUCGUAAAUCUACGGCAACGCUCUGUUGGCAGUGGUGAAGCAAUUGUCGUGGACUUAUUAGAUUUGUACGAAAAUGGGGCCCGACAAGAAAUGUGGUCGAUCGUAGCAGAGUCCUUAGCUUUCCUUCUUCUUUGAUAGGCUAAGAGACAUAGAAUUAAAGAGAAUAUGCCACCAAAGACAGCUACAUUAAUGAUCAAAACCUGUGAUGCUAGUCUGCUCCUUCGUUUUUGUUUUAAACUUGGAUGUUGAUCUGGUUCUGGAGGAACUCGAAUUGGUUCAGGGUUGGGUCCUGCUAGACUACCUUCUGAAUUGUUCAACUUGAAUAUUUCCAAACCAUUCAAGAUCGCGUCAGCAAACUCAGUCUCAUUAGAUGGGUGUAAAGCGAGCCACAAGUCCUGCUUUCUAGGGACUCCAGCUGGAACCCAUACAACGUAGUCUUUGUACACUGGAAAACCGUUACCACCGCUCCAGAGGAUCACAUCUGCUUGAGCUACCACUGUUUGAUUAUUGAUGAAUAUGGAGAAUAUCAGUUGAAACUCACCGGUAACCUCUAGUCGAGUCUCACAAAAGUGGAGACGAACAAGAUAGUUGAAUCCAGUAUCAACGGGGAAUAACCAAGUGAGAUUGUAGUUAAUGUUAACAUUUGCAUUAGGACCCAUUGAACGCAUACUACUAUAUACCAAUUCAGGAGCAACCCAAGCCGGAGUACUCUUUGUAUAAUUUAUCUUAACCUUAGAAAUAGACGUCACUCCAAAUGCAGCUCCAAAAAUGUAAUUAGAGUCUUCAACCCAUUUCCUGUACAUUCCGGUGUCACCUGAACCGUCAAUAUCCCGUCCCCCAACAUUUAACCGAUAAACAGUCUCAAGAGCGGUUGUAUCAUCCAAAUAGAAGGGAUAGUCAAUGCCAACAUUUGUCAGCAGGCUAUCAUUUCCGUGUAUAUAGAGACUGUCUGGCAUGGAAACGAUUUCAAUACCAUUUAUGAAGGCAAAAGAUUUCAGAGAUGGAUUAAAAGUUAUGUUAAGCAUCUGUUUUUCCUGAAUAGUAACGACAAACUCUUUCACAAUGGCAGCAGCUGGAGGCUGCAUGGCUGAAACCGUAAGAAAAGCGCUAAAGUUGCUUAGAAGUGUGUAGUCAUUGGCUUCAACGGAGAAGAAGGAUUUGGAGAUAUCAAGAUUGGAGUAAGCAACAGGAUAGAAGUAGAGACGAACAAAUUUUGAGCCAGGUGAGACAGGAAAGCUGUAGGUGAAUUUGGAUAGAAAAAUACGAGCUGUCAUGUAAGGGACUUGGGUCACAGAUGUAUCUUGCCCGGAGGCUUUGAAAGCAAAUGAUGAGUUCAGAGAGAUAGAGGCACCGAAUUUGGAUCGGGCAUCGCUAACCCAAUUUCGGCCGUCGGGUGAUGUUGUGAGAGAGGACGCACCACAGCUGAGAAGGAUAAUUUCUGUUGGAGUAUAUGGCGGCAAGCUGUGAACGGCGGUGAUGUAAGGGAGAAGGAUUAUGAAGAGAGAUGCAAGAGAAAUUAAUUUUGUCAAGAUAAGAGAGAUAGAGAACAAAGAAAAAAGUGAGGCAAUUAUGAAGCCCAUGGAUAGUGUGAAAUUUAAUAUCUUUUAGAUCCAACUAUUUGUUUAUGGCGAUCGGCAACGAUAGGAAUAAAGGAAAGAAGUUUACAACAACUUUCCAUUAAAAAAAAAUGGAAAUUAAAUUUUCCAAUGGAAAUUUCAUGUAAACUUCUUGUUUUGAAGAACUGUUAAUUGUUAACUUAAGAAGCAUUUUUGGGAGUAAACAAAGACUUGAACAAGUCUUCAAUAUUGACAAGUUUUGGCACUAUCAUUUAAUCAAGGGGUACGUGCUCAGAAAGUAAGGGGCUGACCGUAAGGUCUUAUUGUGGUUGGACAAAAUAUGUAACAUCUACAAAGCGGGUCGGGCAAGAAGACUUCUAGUAUGUAGAAAGUCAUCCAUAGGACUUUAAAAAGACCUUGUUGAUUACAAAUUAAAUAAAGAACUGCGGAACACCUGGUGAAUAGAAUAGCUAUAACGACAAUGACAACAAAAUAGUAUAAUUAUACCCUUCACAAACAGAGCAAUGCAGAUCUUAAGAAGUUGGAUUAAUUAUAUCAUUGGAGAGAUCCAUAUCAAACUAUUAAUUAUAUUAAUGAAACCUAGAUAGUUCAUUAUUCAGAAAUAGCAUAAUUACAUAGAAAUGCUUAAAUUUUUAGAAAAUAUUCAAACUAGCAGAAUAGAGCAGCGGUAAUGAUCUUAGUCUCCAUAUUUAUCCAAUUGCAAUUCUUUCAAACAACUAAAAACCCAGUAACCGGGAAACAACAUUUUUAAGAAACAAAAAAGCGAGCAGGUCUUGUUGUCUAUAAUAGCACAUUGUCGAGUAUAAACAAAUUUUGUCCAUUCUUAUUGUAACUACAAAUUGGAAAAAGAUCAUCAGCAUUCUUAUAGUAACUAAAACCAUGCAAAAUUUGAUAGACUGUAAUAAGCAUACCAGAGGCUUAAAUCCAUUGGACUUAACUACAAUUUUCAUCUUCCCAUUGGAUUCAUAAUUUCCGAAAAUACAGACUUAGACUUAAAUCCAUCAGGAUCAAGUUUAGCAGCACUCCCUUCACCACUGCUAACUGUGCUCUUGGAGUCCUCCUUUUGUUCGCCUGAAACGCUAAAUAUAUCAUCAUCAUCAGUAGUUACAACAGCUUCCCCACGCAACAACAAUGGACUUUCCUGCUCUUCACCCACACUCUCAACACUACUAUUUCUACUCUUCUCUGCCGUCUCUUGAAGCUGCAAUGCUAACUCCAGCUCACAUAUCACGCCGCUCAUUGCCGGUCUUUGUGCUCCAUUGUCACGCAAACAGCUCUCCGCAAUCUCUCCAAAUUUCUCCAAACAGGCAGGAUCAGCAUCACCUCUCAAGUGCGGGUCCAUUAUUCGAUCGAGUGCACCUCUUCUAUAGCAGAUUCUAGCCCAAUCAGCUAAAUUCGCUUGCUCUUUGGGUAAUCCUGGAAUUACAGGUGGCCUAGCACAUAAUACCUCCAAUAGAACAACUCCGAAUGAGUACACGUCAGAUUUUUCAGUGAGGUGUUGCCUACGAUAAUACUCUGGAUCUACAUAUCCAACACUACCCCUGACAACAGUGCUGACUUGCGUUUGGGACUGGCUAGUGGGACCCAUUCUUGACAAGUCAAAGUCAGAAACUUUAGCCACCCAGUUCUUCAUCUAUCAGUAUGUUCGUUGACUUGACGUCGCGGUGAAUGAUCGGGUGUUUCGCACCUGUAUGGAGAUGAUGCAGUCCAUGUGCAGCUCCGAUGCAGAUCUGUAGUCUUUGCUUCCAUGGAAGAGGAGGGUUUUUGGUUUUGUAGAGAUUAUCACGGAGAGUGCCGCGGUGCAUGAACUCGUAUACUAGAAUCAUCUCGCCUGGAUCAUCACAGUAUCCUAUUAGAGACACGAGAUGCGUGUGACGGAGCUUGGAAAGCAUCUGGAUUUCUGUUUUGAACUCGCGAGCUCCCUGUUUUGAUGAUGAAUGUAAUCGCUUGAUUGCGACAGUAAAGGCGCCAUCAUCGAUGGAUCCUUUGUAGACAUUNNNNNNNNNNNNNNNNNNNNNNNNNNNNNNNNNNNNNNNNNGGACAUCAAAAUUUAUGAGUGCUAUCCAUCGAUUAUUUUGAGCAAUAAUUCACUACUGACAACAGAAAUUAGUUCACUCGAGCUCUCUGUAGAUUGGUGCAGUAAAAUUAGAAAUUUAAGAUUUGAAAAUAUGUAAGUGUUUAAGGUUUUUUAAAUUAUGAACAAUUCCUUAAAAUUCAAUGGCUUAUUGUAUUCUUUAAAUCUUUUUCUUAGUUCAAAAUUUUUUUUCUUAUAGUUUUAAAUGAAUUUUUACUUGAUUUAAUUAAAAUUUUGAAGUGAUAUAAGAAUAAAUAUUAUGAAAUAAUUGGCUGAAAAAAAGUUAAAUAUUUGAUGUUCAUGCCAAUCGCAUAUGGAUAUUUACAUUAUUAUUCAAUUUAUCUCCUUGUAGAUUUAGUUUGAAGCAUAUAUAUUAAAGAUAAGAGAGGUUAUUUUCAUAUUAAAAGGAUAUAGAAAUACUUUCAAUAUGAAAAAACAUCUUAAUAUAUAUAUAUAUAUAUAUAUAUAUAUAUAUAUAUAUAUAUAUAUAUAUUUAUAUAUUNNNNNNNNNNNNNNNNNNNNNNNNNNNNNNNNNNNNNNNNNNNNNNNNNNNNNNNNNNNNNNNNNNNNNNNNNNNNNNNNNNNNNNNGGAAAAUUUUUAAUGGCCGGUCUAUUCUUGUACCAAUAAUGCAGAAGAAAAUGCCAUAGACUUGAAUGAGUCGGAGUGGAAAAAAAUGUGACAAGCAAUUUUCAUGAAGUCGCAUUCUUAGGCCCCCUGCUUUAGACCAAAGUUAGUGUUUAAUCACUCAUUAAUAUUAUAAAAAGUCAUUCAUUCAAAUACGGAGAAGGCAAGAGAAAAUGACGAACUCUCAUAAAAAAAAUUUUAUAAUAUAAUUUACGAAUCAAUCCACACUAAAAUCUUAUAGUAUUCGAUAAUAUAAUGUCUGAACUAGCUUUUAGAGGUUAAAGUAGCAUUUUGUGAAAAAUUAACUUAUGUAACGUUUGACUUUUAACAUUUCAUAAAAAUCUAUUCGAACAACUAAAAGUGAAAUAAGCUAAUUAGCUGAAUUUGAGAAAAAAAAAAACAGUGAAUGUAAUUAUCAAAAUUAUUCAAUCAAUCUCCAUAAAAUGUUAAGUAUUAGAGUAUUUAACGUUUUAUAAAAAGUGCUUAGUUAAUCUUUAAAAGCAACUGUAAAAGCUAUAUUACCCAAUGGCAGACUUAAUAGAGAUGAAAUUUUAAUUUAACUAAAACACUAAACAUUUAGGACUUUGAAUGUUGUUUGAAUUUAAUUUCCAUAUUUUCCAACUACUUAUAAAGGUUUAGGGGGGAUAGGAAAUUUGAAUUUUUGAGUAGAUUUUAAUUUUAUUUUGAAGAAAUAAUUAUUAAAAAUUAUUUUGAAUUAAAUUUAAGAAGUAGAAAGAAAGGGGAAAAAAGAAAGGAUAAAAAAUUUUGGUACAACUAUAUAUGUCUGGCAAAGCGCAUGUGAAUGUCAAAUGCACGAGGGAGAGCGACAGACCAAAAAUAGUGCCAACAUAGACUUCUUCUUCCUCUUCAUUUCUAAUAAAAUAAAAUCACUCUCUGUCAUUUGAUCAAACACAAGAUAAGCCAUGGAUGGAGAGAUGCUCAAAACGAAAUGGGUUGUCAUCGUUGCAAUUUAGAGCUGUGCAUCGUACACCUUCAACAUCUAAUUUUCCAUUCUCCAACCCAAUUAAGGCUUGCAACAAUAAAUAAACAUCACUCUUUCUGGUUAAAAUUCUUGAUUGGAAGUAUUCAAAAUCUAUAUAUCCAAGUGUGCUUUGAACGGGAACAAAUAUGAAGUAGAUACAGUUUUAAGUGCCCACCAAAAUGUUUGUGAAAAUUACUCAAUGAAUAAAAAUUUUUUUCUUUUAUUAUAUAUUACAUCAGUUGAAGCCUGUGCAUCAAAAUUAUCCCACUUGUCAUCUUUUUUUUCCAUCUCAUUGGGUGUGUGAGAUUCACGCUUUAUUUGGCCAUCAACGAGGUGCACAUUUAUUACUAAAAAUUGUAACUUUAAAGGUAGCAGUAUCUUCAAACUUAAAAGUGUCACAAAGUAACAUGUAAAUUUCCCAGGCAGAUUUACACGUUCCAUCAUUUGCCAGCUGUAAUCCUCUAUCCUUCCAUCUACCGUUGAAAACAAAUGACAUCUACUGCCGUGGUUAAUGAUGGAAUGAUGAUAAAUAAGGGUACUAUAGUCUUUUUAAAUAGUAAAAGAAGGGCCGAAAAGAGAAAGAGCACAAAAUCAUUGUUCCCGUGAUUUAGUGUAUAUAAAAAUCUUUGGCUCGCUGAGUCUUUUUCGGUUUUUCCGUAUGUUCCAACAAAAAGAUUUGAAAAUUAUAUAUCAAAAACUUGUGUUUAAGUCCACUUGUAAGCCUUCUUGGCUGUCAUUGUAGUGGAAAAAUAGACCUUACAAGUUGCAAACAAUGCAUAAAGAUAUUGCAGAUGCUUCUGAUCAUGUCAUCCGGAAGCACUGAAAAAUGAGCUCUACAUGUCCCUAUGUAACUUCCUUCCACUUUCUAUAAGUUCAUUGGAAAAGUCUGGACGGGCUCAUGUGUACGUUGAUAGUGAUUUUCGUAAAUAUACGAAAUCACAAUAAAUAAUAAAAAGUGAGUAGAGUAUCAUUUCCGCGAGGAUUGUAUACCAAGUACUAAAAUUAUAUUAACCUAUUAUUAUUUAAACGGCAAUAAGAGAAAUUAUUUUAAGAAAUUAACUUUAACAAAUAAAAGAGAAUGAAAAGAAAUAAAGCAAGGCAAUUUUGAGUAAAACAAAACAAGGAUUAAAAGCUACUAGGGAUUUUGAUUCACUUAAUUCUAUCCAAUUUAUUUUAUUAGUUUGAUAAUCAAUUUUAAUUGUUCAAGUAGGGAAAACAACCCUAAAAUCACUAACAAGCUCUCCCGAUUUAUUUUUAGCUAUUUUAACCCGGUCUAAUUACCUAUCUUCCAAUAGUGCAAUCAAACAUGAAUUAAAUCAUUAAGUUUUAUGGUUUGUUUAUGAAUUCAUAACCUAAGGUCAUUAACUUAUGAAAACUCCCCAUAAGUCAAACCAUAUAGCUUCCGCAUCAAGUUAUUAUUCUCAUGUGUGAUUAAUGAAAUAAAUCAAUCCAGUGGAGAAACUCUGCCUGGAAGCAUUAAGUUCAAUAAUAAAUUAUACUUUGAACAAAGAAAAGCAAAUUUAAUAUUAUAAAUUGUAAAAGAAAUUAAGCUACAUCAAAUCCCUAGUAUGAGAAUUUAGUUCGACAUAGUAAUUAAAUAAAACUCAAUUAAACUUGAGAAUAAUUCCAUAUUCAAUAUGAAUGAUGAAAAGUAAAAACAAGAUUAAGAGUUUAGAGAUAAAAACUAGUUAACAAAUAAUUCUGGACGGCUUCCUUGAAUCUUCACGCAAAUCUUGAGCAAUUGAAGUCUCGGAGAGAGAGAGAAAAACAAUAGAAAAAAGAUGGAAUAUACAAUGAAUGGAUUCCUAUGGCUAGUCUCUCUAUUUAUGUAGACUUUCUGGAAUAUCUUCGUUUUCGUUUAGGAAAGUGAAUUUUUAUUGAGGAAGAUAUCUUUUGGAGAUAGGAAACUGUUUAGACUUUGUAUUUUUUUCCAAUUAGGACUCUUCCAGCGCCUAGAUAAGAGUUAAGCUGGUUUCCUAUAAAAAUCCUACAAAAUUCCUCAAGAUCAAGUGAAAUAUGAUUAAAAGAAGCUUUACACAAAAAUAUAAAUAAAAAUAUAUAAAAACUAAUUAAAGUAAUUAAAAAUACUAAAAAUCCUAAUAAAAAUUAUAUUAAAAAUACUAUAAAAAUAACACAUAUCAUACACUUACCACUAAAUUAUACUUUUGCUUAUCUACUUAUUUUCUUGUUGAUACUAAUUGAAUGAGGAAUUGUUAAUGACAAUGAUAAUGACAAUAAAAUAUUAUUUUGAGCAAUAAAUAAUUCAAUAAUAAUCUAAACAAAUAACCAAUCAAGUGAUGAUCUGGUUAUUUUUUUAUUUACGUGAAAAAUGGAAGGUUUUAAGUUCGAGUCCUCUCGAUCAUAGUUUUAUAAAUAGUAAUUAUUCUGUAUUGAAGUUUAAUCCAAAAUUAAUGUAUAAUUUUUUUAAAAAAAGAUAAAAAAUAUAAAUAAUUUGAACUUUAUGAAUUGAUUUACACCAAUGUAUGUAUAUGUGUUAAACAAAUACAGAAAAAAGAGAGUUGAAUUAACUUAAAAUUAUUCUAGUGGAAGCACUGUCUGCAACCAUGGUCAUGUCUAAAAAUAAGAGCAUGAUGUUACUUUUGCCGCAUGUAUUCACUAUUGAGAGAGAUGAACUGGUUAGAAGAAAACAAAAUUCAACAGAAAAAUUCAACAGAAAAUUCAUUUAGUUAAUAAAAAUUAUUUUGCUAUUUUUUAUUCUUAACUCGUUAAGAUAUUAAUAAAAAUUUAUUUAAUGAAUGAGUAUAAAAAAAUAAUUAUUUAAAUAUAUAAAUUUAGAAAUCUUACAAACAUUUUAAAACAUUCAAAAAAGUAAUAACAAUCUAUUUUAGAAAUUCAAUGGUGAGUGUACGCAUCAAUUCUUAUACCAAUAAUGCAGAAGUAAAUGCCAUAGACGUGAAAGACUUGCAGUGGACAAGCAAUUUUCAUGAAUUCGCAUUCAUGGGUCUCCUGCGGUAGACCAAAUGAGUGGUGUCGUUGAUUAUAUAUAUGCUUACCUUUGUUUUUAUUUACCCAAUUGCAUAUACUUCUAAACUCAUUUAAACCACUGAAUCAGAAUAGUUCAAAUUGGCAACGAACCAAUCAUCAAUUGUAUGGUAAGCAACUUUUCGGGAAAAAUUUCCAGAGAAAAUUAUUGGUUAUUAAUUAGUACUCAUACUAUUUACAAAUUUUAAAUUUUUACACUGUGAUUAAGUAAACAAUAAAUUUUCUUAAAUUAUAGCAAAAAGUUUAUUAAUACGAUUAAGUUAUUGCAUAUAUCUAUAUAUAUAUAUAUGUGUGUGUGUUAUAUAUAUGUAUAAGGGUAAAAUUAAAAGAAUUUCAUUAAUUACUCGAAAAUACUCAUUUUGUCCCAAAAUAUAAGUCGUUUAGGAUUUUUGCACAAGGAUUAAGGAAUCAAUUAAUUCUCCUAAAAUUAUAACAAAACUAAGAGUAAUUUGACCAAAUUAUCAUUUAUCUCAAAACCGAUAGUUAUGUAGUUAUUAUAUAAGGAUAACAUUGAAAAAAUAUCAUUUAUUACCUUUUAAAAUACUUAAAAUGAGUUAUAUUUUGCGACAAAAUAAUUACUAAAAAACGACUUAUAUUUUAGGACAUAAAGGUAUUCUCAAAAAUAACUUAUAUAUAUAGGCGUAAAAAUUACUCUAAAAAGACUUAGGUAAUUACUUGGAUCUCUGAUUUUGCUAAAUACAUUAUUUCAUCCUUGUACUUUAGGGGUGGAGACAGUAUUAUAAGUGAUUGUGCUCCCAUAAAAAAUAUUUUGAAACUUUUUGAUGCACUAGGAGGUUCAAUGAGUAGACUGUAGGCUACAUAAUAAAAAUAUUUUAAACUUUUAGUGUAAUCAUUUUUUAAGAAUCAUAACUUAGUUUAUCCCACAAGUAAAAUUAUUUUUUGGUCUUCUGUUUAAUUAUUUCGGUGAUUCUCUUUUUUCUGUAUUGUACACCUUUAAAUUAAUAAUUUCUUUCAUCCAAAAAUCAAUUUUUUGUGUUUAACUACAGCAUUUGGAUGUAAGUGGGCAAUCUUCUAGUUCGGGUUUUAGCAUAUUGAAUUUGCUAAAAUUUUCCAGCAUUUAAAAACAAAUUAAUAAAAUAUUUUACUUUGCUGAUUAAAAAAAAUCUAAUUACCGGUUGAUAAACUUCUUAAGUCUCUUUAACUACUUUUAUUCGUUACCUUCUAACCCAAAAAUGACAAGAAAAAGUCCCAAAAAAUUGGAAAUAUCAGUUCCAAAAAUUUUACGCGUCAAUUUGGAGUAAGGAACCCACAACUGUUUCAUCACUAAAAGUGAUGUGAUUAGUUUUUCUGAUGCAGAAGGGUCUUGUUAGUUUUACUCCGCGAUGAAUAGCUCUUAUGACAGUUAAAGUAAGGAUCUUGUCUCCAUAGUUGCACAUAAAAUUAGCUUUGUAAUUUUGAGGUUGUUGAGAUCUAUCCUUCCAUGGUGUUGGGUUCUCCAAUGUGAUUUCCCGAAAUCAAUGAGAGUUGGGCUUUCCAGGGGGUAGAUGAUGUGGGCAUUUUAUGCACACAUUUUUUGGCCCAUAGUUCCUAUGGUACAGCAUCUAAAUGAUACAUCAUUUUGCCAAGUGGACCACAUUUUAUAAUCCUUGUCAUGUUUCUUUUGAAUAGGUGAAAAUAUAGAGUGCUUACAGCUGAAAAAGGACCAAAACGAGUAAAUCCAAGAAGCCAGGAACUAAGCUGCAGGUUAACAGAGGCACCCAAAAACAGCCAGUAGCUAUCCCUCAAGAUACGUCCCAAAAGGCUGUCAUUCAAAUGAGAAAGCUAAGCCCAUGCAUCAAGAAUACAGUAAUAAAAUUUCACACAUAUUAUUUUUUUGAUUAAAUAUUGUUACGGGAACAUUAUUUCCUUAAAUACUUAUCCUUUAAACACCAUCUUGGGAAAAAAAUUCAAAAACUUUAUCUAAUUUUAAAGGAAAAUUGAAAAUUUUUUUUAGAGCUUGGGGCCAUGGCUGCCUUUCAUUUCCUUCUCUCUGAUCCUGUCUGUCUUUAGAACUUUAAAUCACUCAAAGCUUCAAACUACAAAUAAUUUUGAUUCUACUUUUAACCCCAAAACAAGAAAAAUAAUGUUUAAUGAAUAAGUAUUAUAAUUGAAAUGUCUUAGAAAAUGUUUCUAACCACAAAUAUUUGAAAACAUACAUAGAGCAUUAAUUGCUAAUUAACAAUUGUUAAAAGCUGAAAACAAAAAAAAUAUAUCAGCCAAUCCUUGAGCCAAACACACCCGUAGUUGAACUACUUGUAUCAGAAUCAGUUGAUGAAGUUGAGUCUAGCUGAGGUCCGUCGGCAAUAUCAACACAUUGGGCAGGGAAAAAAGAUACAUAAGGAUGGACGAUUUCACCAUCAGGACUGAUUCCCAUAUUCUCAGCUUCCGCAUCGUCUUGCAGCUUCAGUGCAAACUCAAGUUCUUCCAUAACAUCUCUCAUAUUGGGCCGUUCAAUGCCUUUGCUAUGAACGCAACUGAAUGCGAUCUCCACAAAUUUUUUGAAACACCGUGGAGCUAUCUUCCCCUUCAAAUAAGGAUCAAUUAUUUGAUAAAUGUUUCCAUUUUGA
Molecule: long non-coding RNA, 11933 nt
Filed under: Jatropha curcas
Lineage: Eukaryota; Viridiplantae; Streptophyta; Magnoliopsida; Malpighiales; Euphorbiaceae
Description: long non-coding RNA (JCUR_LNC002959)
Source: RNAcentral